This is a long non-coding RNA of Colossoma macropomum (tambaqui), 203 nucleotides long. RefSeq lists it as uncharacterized. The transcript is spliced from 3 exons. The record is from RefSeq and is a predicted model, not a curated record. NCBI's taxonomy places the organism in Eukaryota, Metazoa, Chordata, Actinopteri, Characiformes, Serrasalmidae.
GUUUUUCUUCUCCUCACUCGUCGUCACUAUUUUCAGGUUUAACCAUAUCUUUUCUUCUUGCAGUUACCUACACAUUUCCUACAUCUAUCACCAGCAUUUCUCAGUCAUCCACUGCUGCUUCUGGUUCUCAACUGAUCAGGAAUUGUCCCAGUCAUGAGGAAUCCAUCUUCACAAACUGCAAGUGACAGAGAAGUUGACCAGAG